UACGUAGGUGGCAAGCGUUGUCCGGAUUUAUUGGGUUUAAAGGGUGCGUAGGCGGCCCUGUAAGUCAGUGCUGAAAUAUCCCGGCUUAACCGGGAGGGUGGCAUUGAUACUGCGGGGCUAGAGUACAGAUGAGGUAGGCGGAAUUGAUUGUGUAGCGGUGAAAUGCAUAGAUACAAUCAAGAACUCCGAUUGCGUAGGCAGCUAACUAGGCUGUAACUGACGCUGAGGCACGAAAGCGUGGGGAGCGAACAGG
This 253-nucleotide ribosomal RNA is filed under the name uncultured bacterium. RNAcentral describes it as "partial 16S ribosomal RNA". It matches the Rfam family "Bacterial small subunit ribosomal RNA", at positions 524 to 776 of the family's 1533-position model. The record is from RNAcentral.